UUGGUUAAGUUAGAAAGGGCGCACGGUGGAUGCCUUGGCACUAGGAGCCGAAGAAGGACGGGACUAACACCGAUAUGCUUUGGGGAGCUGUACGUAAGCGUUGAUCCAGAGAUUUCCGAAUGGGGGAACCCACUAUCUUUAGUCGGAUAGUAUCCUUACGUGAAUACAUAGCGUAAGGAAGGCAGACCCAGGGAACUGAAACAUCUAAGUACCUGGAGGAAGAGAAAGAAAAAUCGAUUUCCUGAGUAGCGGCGAGCGAAACGGAAAGAGCCCAAACCAAGAAGCUUGCUUCUUGGGGUUGUAGGACACUCUAUACGGAGUUACAAAAGAAAGUUAUAAAUGAAGCGGUCUGGAAAGGCCCGCCAAAGACGGUAACAGCCCGGUAGUUGAAAUGGCUUUCCCUCCAGAGUGGAUCCUGAGUACGGCGGAACACGUGAAAUUCCGUCGGAAUCCGGGAGGACCAUCUCCCAAGGCUAAAUACUCCCUAGUGACCGAUAGUGAACCAGUACCGUGAGGGAAAGGUGAAAAGCACCCCGGAAGGGGAGUGAAACAGUUCCUGAAACCGUGUGCCUACAAGUAGUUAGAGCCCGUUAAUGGGUGAUAGCGUGCCUUUUGUAGAAUGAACCGGCGAGUUACGAUUUGUUGCAAGGUUAAGCGGAAAAAGCGGAGCCGUAGCGAAAGCGAGUCUGAAUAGGGCGCAUAAGUAACAGGUCGUAGACCCGAAACCAGGUGAUCUACCCAUGUCCAGGAUGAAGGUAAGGUAAUACUUACUGGAGGUCCGAACCCACGCACGUUGAAAAGUGCGGGGAUGAGGUGUGGGUAGCGGAGAAAUUCCAAUCGAACUUGGAGAUAGCUGGUUCUCUCCGAAAUAGCUUUAGGGCUAGCCUCGAGGUAAAGAGUCAUGGAGGUAGAGCACUGUUUGGACUAGGGGCCCUUCUCGGGUUACCGAAUUCAGAUAAACUCCGAAUGCCAUGUACUUAUACUCGGGAGUCAGACUGCGAGUGAUAAGAUCCGUAGUCGAAAGGGAAACAGCCCAGACCACCAGUUAAGGUCCCCAAAUAUAUGUUAAGUGGAAAAGGAUGUGGGGUUGCUUAGACAACCAGGAUGUUGGCUUAGAAGCAGCCACCAUUGAAAGAGUGCGUAAUAGCUCACUGGUCGAGUGACCCCGCGCCGAAAAUGUACCGGGGCUAAACAUAUUACC
RNAcentral lists this ribosomal RNA (1201 nucleotides) under Listeria monocytogenes. Its description in RNAcentral is "partial 23S ribosomal RNA". It matches the Rfam family "Bacterial large subunit ribosomal RNA", at positions 1 to 1195 of the family's 2925-position model. Lineage: Bacteria; Bacillati; Bacillota; Bacilli; Caryophanales; Listeriaceae. The record is from RNAcentral.